This 253-nucleotide ribosomal RNA is filed under the name uncultured bacterium. Its description in RNAcentral is "partial 16S ribosomal RNA". It matches the Rfam family "Bacterial small subunit ribosomal RNA", at positions 524 to 776 of the family's 1533-position model. The record is from RNAcentral.
UACGAGGGGGGCAAGCGUUGUUCGGAUUUAUUGGGCGUAAAGGGUGCGUAGGCGGUUUGGCAAGUCUGAUGUGAAAUCUAUGGGCUCAACCCAUAGUCUGCAUCAGAAACUGCCGGGCUUGAGUAUGGGAGAGGAAAGUGGAAUUCCUGGUGUAGCGGUGAAAUGCGUAGAUAUCAGGAGGAACACCAGUGGCGAAGGCGGCUACCUGGACCAGCACUGACACUGAAGCACGAAAGCGUGGGGAGCAAACAGG